Callithrix jacchus (white-tufted-ear marmoset) is the source of this 300-nucleotide unclassified non-coding RNA. It matches the Rfam family "Metazoan signal recognition particle RNA". Rfam says of the family: The signal recognition particle (SRP) is a universally conserved ribonucleoprotein. It is involved in the co-translational targeting of proteins to membranes. NCBI's taxonomy places the organism in Eukaryota, Metazoa, Chordata, Mammalia, Primates, Cebidae. The record is from Ensembl.
GCCAGGCACGGUGGCGCAUGCUUGUAGUUCCAUCUACUCAGGAGGCUGAGGAUGGAGGAUUGAUCGAGUCCAGGAGUUCUGGGCUGUAGUGCACUAUGCCAAUCAGGUGUCCACGCUAAGUUCAGCAACAAUAUGGUAACCCCCUGGGAGCGGGGCAUCACCAGGUUGCCUAAGGAGGGGCAAAUUGGCCCUGGUAGGAAACAGAGCAGAUCAAAACUCCCAUGCUGACCAGCGGUGGGAUCGCCCCUGUGAAUUGCCACUGCACUCCAGCCUGGGCAAUAUAGCGAGACCCUGUCUCUU